This 724-nucleotide ribosomal RNA is filed under the name uncultured bacterium. Its description in RNAcentral is "bacterial SSU rRNA". It matches the Rfam family "Bacterial small subunit ribosomal RNA", at positions 28 to 776 of the family's 1533-position model. The record is from RNAcentral.
GAUGAACGCUGACAGCAUGUUUAACACAUGCAAGUCUACUUGAUCCUUCGGGUGAUGGUGGCGGACGGGUGAGUAACGCGUAAAGAACUUGCCCUGCAGUCUGGGACAACAUUUGGAAACGAAUGCUAAUACCGGAUAUUAUGUGAGUUUCGCAUGAAAUUCAUAUGAAAGCUAUAUGCGCUGCAGGAGAGCUUUGCGUCCUAUUAGCUAGUUGGUGAGGUAACGGCUCACCAAGGCGAUGAUAGGUAGCCGGCCUGAGAGGGUGAACGGCCACAAGGGGACUGAGACACGGCCCUUACUCCUACGGGAGGCAGCAGUGGGGAAUAUUGGACAAUGGACCAAAAGUCUGAUCCAGCAAUUCUGUGUGCACGAUGAAGUUUUUCGGAAUGUAAAGUGCUUUCAGUUGGGACGAAGUAAGUGACGGUACCAACAGAAGAAGCGACGGCUAAAUACGUGCCAGCAGCCGCGGUAAUACGUAUGUCGCAAGCGUUAUCCGGAUUUAUUGGGCGUAAAGCGCGUCUAGGCGGUUUGGUAAGUCUGAUGUGAAAAUGCGGGGCUCAACUCCGUAUUGCGUUGGAAACUGUCAAACUAGAGUACUGGAGAGGUGGGCGGAACUACAAGUGUAGAGGUGAAAUUCGUAGAUAUUUGUAGGAAUACCGAUGGGGAAGCCAGCCCACUGGACAGAUACUGACGCUAAAGCGCGAAAGCGUGGGUAGCANACAGG